GACGAACGCUGGCGGCGUGCUUAACACAUGCAAGUCGAACGCUGAAGGCCUGGCUUUUGUUGGGUUGGAUGAGUGGCGAACGGGUGAGUAACACGUGAGUAACCUGCCCUCUUCUUUGGGAUAACGCCCGGAAACGGGUGCUAAUACUGGAUAUUCACUGAUCUUCGCAUGGGGGUUGGUGGAAAGGUUUGUUCUGGUGGGGGAUGGGCUCGCGGCCUAUCAGCUUGUUGGUGGGGUGAUGGCCUACCAAGGCUUUGACGGGUAGCCGGCCUGAGAGGGUGACCGGUCACAUUGGGACUGAGAUACGGCCCAGACUCAUACGGGAGGCAGCAGUGGGGAAUAUUGCACAAUGGGCGAAAGCCUGAUGCAGCGACGCCGCGUGAGGGAUGGAGGCCUUCGGGUUGUAAACCUCUUUCGCUCAUGGUCAAGCCGCAACUGUGGGUUGUGGUGAGGGUAGUGGGUAAAGAAGCGCCGGCUAACUACGUG
RNAcentral lists this ribosomal RNA (486 nucleotides) under uncultured bacterium. Its description in RNAcentral is "partial 16S ribosomal RNA". It matches the Rfam family "Bacterial small subunit ribosomal RNA", at positions 28 to 507 of the family's 1533-position model. The record is from RNAcentral.